GGGGACGUAGCUCAGCUGGUUAGAGCGCAUGCCUGUCACGCAUGAGGUCGCGAGUUCGAAUCUCGUCGUCCCCGCCA
This 77-nucleotide transfer RNA is filed under the name Patescibacteria group bacterium. RNAcentral describes it as "tRNA-Asp". It matches the Rfam family "tRNA". From Rfam's summary of the family: Transfer RNA (tRNA) molecules are approximately 80 nucleotides in length. The record is from RNAcentral. RNAcentral also lists the same sequence under 1 other name.